Molecule: ribosomal RNA, 382 nt
Filed under: uncultured bacterium
Lineage: Bacteria
Description: bacterial SSU rRNA
Rfam family: Bacterial small subunit ribosomal RNA
Source: RNAcentral
GGGCAGCAUAGAAGUUUGCUUGCAAACUUCCGAUGGCGACCGUCGCACGGGUGAGUAACACGUAUCCAACCUGCCGAUAACUCGGGGAUAGCCUUUCGAAAGAAAGAUUAAUAUCCGAUAGCAUAUCAAGGUCGCAUGAUCUUGAUAUUAAAGAAUUUCGGUUAUCGAUGGGGAUGCGUUCCAUUAGUUAGUUGGCGGGGUAACGGCCCACCAAGACAACGAUGGAUAGGGGUUCUGAGAGGAAGGUCCCCCACAUUGGAACUGAGACACGGUCCAACCUUAAACGGGAGGCAGCAGUGAGGAAUAUUGGUCAAUGGACGAGAGUCUGAACCAGCCAAGUAGCGCGAAGGAUGACUGCCCUAUGGGUUGUAAACUUCUUUUA